ACUCCUACGGGAGGCAGCAGUGGGGAAUAUUGCACAAUGGGGGAAACCCUUGGUGCAGCGACGUCCGCUUGAGUGAAGAAGUUCUUCGGUAUGUAAAACUCUUCAGCAGGGAAGAAAUGACGUACCU
This 127-nucleotide ribosomal RNA is filed under the name uncultured Clostridium sp. RNAcentral describes it as "partial 16S ribosomal RNA". It matches the Rfam family "Bacterial small subunit ribosomal RNA", at positions 335 to 460 of the family's 1533-position model. Lineage: Bacteria; Bacillati; Bacillota; Clostridia; Eubacteriales; Clostridiaceae. The record is from RNAcentral.